GCAGUCGAACGAUGAAGCCCAGCUUGCUGGGUGGAUUAGUGGCGAACGGGUGAGUAACACGUGAGUAACCUGCCCUUGACUCUGGGAUAAGCGUUGGAAACGACGUCUAAUACCGGAUACGAGCUUCCACCGCAUGGUGAGUUGCUGGAAAGAAUUUUGGUCAAGGAUGGACUCGCGGCCUAUCAGCUUGUUGGUGAGGUAACGGCUCACCAAGGCGACGACGGGUAGCCGGCCUGAGAGGGUGACCGGCCACACUGGGACUGAGACACGGCCCAGACUCCUACGGGAGGCAGCAGUGGGGAAUAUUGCACAAUGGGCGAAAGCCUGAUGCAGCAACGCCGCGUGAGGGACGACGGCCUUCGGGUUGUAAACCUCUUUUAGCAGGGAAGAAGCGAAAGUGACGGUACCUGCAGAAAAAGCACCGGCUAACUACGUGCCAGCAGCCGCGGUAAUACGUAGGGUGCAAGCGUUGUCCGGAAUUAUUGGGCGUAAAGAGCUCGUAGGCGGUUUGUCGCGUCUGCUGUGAAAUCCCGAGGCUCAACCUCGGGUCUGCAGUGGGUACGGGCAGACUAGAGUGCGGUAGGGGAGAUUGGAAUUCCUGGUGUAGCGGUGGAAUGCGCAGAUAUCAGGAGGAACACCGAUGGCGAAGGCAGAUCUCUGGGCCGCUACUGACGCUGAGGAGCGAAAGGGUGGGGAGCAAACAGGCUUAGAUACCCUGGUAGUCCACCCCGUAAACGUUGGGCGCUAGAUGUGGGGACCAUUCCACGGUUUCCGUGUCGUAGCUAACGCAUUAAGCGCCCCGCCUGGGGAGUACGGCCGCAAGGCUAAAACUCAAAGGAAUUGACGGGGGCCCGCACAAGCGGCGGAGCAUGCGGAUUAAUUCGAUGCAACGCGAAGAACCUUACCAAGGCUUGACAUAUACGAGAACGGGCCAGAAAUGGUCAACUCUUUGGACACUCGUAAACAGGUGGUGCAUGGUUGUCGUCAGCUCGUGUCGUGAGAUGUUGGGUUAAGUCCCGCAACGAGCGCAACCCUCGUUCUAUGUUGCCAGCACGUAAUGGUGGGAACUCAUGGGAUACUGCCGGGGUCAACUCGGAGGAAGGUGGGGACGACGUCAAAUCAUCAUGCCCCUUAUGUCUUGGGCUUCACGCAUGCUACAAUGGCCAGUACAAAGGGCUGCAAUACCGUAAGGUGGAGCGAAUCCCAAAAAGCUGGUCCCAGUUCGGAUUGAGGUCUGCAACUCGACCUCAUGAAGUCGGAGUCGCUAGUAAUCGCAGAUCAG
This 1282-nucleotide ribosomal RNA is filed under the name Plantibacter sp. TA_HE1. RNAcentral's name for it is "bacterial SSU rRNA". It matches the Rfam family "Bacterial small subunit ribosomal RNA", at positions 57 to 1352 of the family's 1533-position model. Lineage: Bacteria; Bacillati; Actinomycetota; Actinomycetes; Micrococcales; Microbacteriaceae. The record is from RNAcentral.